RNAcentral lists this ribosomal RNA (219 nucleotides) under uncultured bacterium. Its description in RNAcentral is "partial 16S ribosomal RNA". It matches the Rfam family "Bacterial small subunit ribosomal RNA", at positions 32 to 243 of the family's 1533-position model. The record is from RNAcentral.
AAUCAACGCUGGCGGCGUGCCUCAGACAUGCAAGUCGAACGAUUAAAGCUCUCUUCGGAGAGUGUAUAGAGUGGCGCACGGGUGAGUAACACGUAAGUAAUCUACCUUUAGAGUGGGGAAUAACGUCCGGAACGGACGCUAAUACCGCAUAAUGCAGCGGCAUCGCAAGAUGACAGUUGUUAAAGAUUUAUCGCUUGAAGAGGAGCUUGCGGCAGAUUA